GUCAGUUUGCAUACAUAAACAGUUUUUACGCACUUUAUCAUGAGAAUUUAUUAUGACUCUUAAUAUCUGUGACAUCAUCACAGUGGUUGUGUAUCUCUAUAAAUGAGCGCUUCUGAACGCAAAGGUUGUGCAGACGGCACACAGGCUCGCUGGAUAAUUAGCGGCAAUGACAAAGGAGCAGGGCGCUGAGCCGUGGUCUAAUGCGUCGCUGGUGCCGGGACAGGCAUGUGCCCCCAAAGCUCCAGUGCUGCCCCAUUAUUAAUGAAUGACCUUUGCUGAUGUUAAAGGGUUUGGGAGCAAAAUUAACGUCUGCGCUCAUUUGUUGCUGUCACAUUCCUUCCUUAACUUUCUUCAUGGUGUGCGAGAGAUUGCUUUUUUUAGCGAGUGAGUAUUCAGGAAGUGUAAAUAGUGGCACACAUCCUCCUCUACCCAGAAGCCCCUCUACGGCCAGCCAGACAGAGCUCACUUCUACCUUACUUCAAAGAAAAAGGAAAAAAGUUCAACUCUGAACAGUUUCCUACUGAGUCUUGUUAAAACCGUGUGUAAAAAAAGAGGCACUUCAAAGGACCGGUGCUGCUGACUGUCUCGAAAGCACAGAAAGGGUUUUUACUGGCUUGUUGUAGGUUAUUAAUUUCCACCGCACCUCACUAAAUCUUAAUUAGUCAGACGAUAAAGAAAAAGUCAACUAACAAAAACAACAUAAGAUCUUACGGCUAAUCUCCAUGUAAAGUUCAUCAAAAUGUCCAUCUGUAAACCGUCCAGUUGUGUUGUUGCCAUUUGUUCAGUCUCUGUUUGCUCUGAGAGAAUGGGAGAUAAGAAAUAAACACUGAAGUCAUAAAAAUGCAUAUAUUCACCAGCAGCUCUUGUUGAACAUGUAUUGUUUAUCACCACAAAAUAUGAUUAUUAAAACUAAAUUAUUGAACUAGCCUAAUUGCUUUAAAAAAAAAAAUUUAGUUGUAAUUAACAUUUUCUUAGGGAUAAAAAAUCAACCUCAAAUUAUGCUCUAAACUACAGGGAGCCC
Cyprinus carpio carpio is the source of this 1021-nucleotide long non-coding RNA. NCBI's taxonomy places the organism in Eukaryota, Metazoa, Chordata, Actinopteri, Cypriniformes, Cyprinidae. The record is from Ensembl.